Molecule: long non-coding RNA, 1333 nt
Organism: Panicum virgatum (switchgrass)
Lineage: Eukaryota; Viridiplantae; Streptophyta; Magnoliopsida; Poales; Poaceae
Exons: 5
Source: RefSeq, a predicted model, not a curated record
CCCUUUCCGAAAAGCUCCCCGCAAACCGAACCCUAGCUUCUCUCUCCUUCCAGCCGCCGCCCCUCCUUUCUCGCCCGCGCACGCCUCCCGGCUGAGGCUGUUCCUCGAGCAACGGAAGCCCACGCGGCCUCCGGCAGGGACGGCGGGCUCCCGGCGGAGGGGGACAUGGAGUGGAAAAGCCCGUUCCUCCCGGCGCUGUUGGAGAUCUGGGUGGGGGGAGCCGCCGUCCCCAGAGCCGGCCAACACCGCGGCCAUGGUGGUGACCGGCGCGCUCGCCUUGGUUCCUGCUGCUGCUGCAGCUUCUGCUCAUCUCCGCCACAAUCUUCGCCGCCACCGUCAAGUACUCCUUCAUAGCCGUGCUCCUGCUCUCAUCGCGCUCCUACGACCGGCUUCGUCGCCAGAAGAUGAAAAGGAAAAGCUCUCGAUCUCUAGGGAUCUCCGUAUUCGUGUGCGCCGCACCUUCUCUGUGCUGAUGUCUCAUCGGUACAGAGCCGGGGAGGGCCAUGCCGUCCUGAUGGGGUAGGGAGCACGCGGGCCUCGUCCCUCGCCUAUGUUCACUACCGGUGCCGUGAGAUAAGUGCCUCUUCCUCCCUAUGUAUCUGCUCCAUCUGGUUCACAACCUCCUCAUCCCACCCCUGUUCCAAACCCUAGGUCUAUGGUUUCCUAUCUUCGUCCCCCUAUCUGUAAGAUCAGUGAGCUCUCAUGUUCUCACCCCUGGCUUCCACUUUUGAGCUUAGUGCAUACUUUGCCAUGGCCUGAUAUCUGAAUUUUUUGCUGUGUUCGUAGAGGUGCUGCUCCGGCAAUGGUGCCCUUGACCUGUGAUCAGGAUAGGGUCGUAGAUAUGAACAGAUUUUACUUCUCCUGGUGCCGGCGGUGAGGAUUGUGAAUCUGUACCUUGUGCUUCGAUGGACAAUAAUUUGUUGGACCAAGUCAUUAUUGUACAUACCAUUAUCUUCAGAAGGUUUAGGCUGAAACUUUAAGCUACUGGAAUAUAAAUUUAGAGUGCAAUCUAAGCAUUCAGACACACGGUUAGAGUGAAACUGUGAACUGUUUGCUUCAAGGCAGCCAAUGAGUCCAAGCAAGGAUGGACAAGAAGGGGAUGGACUCAUUUUAGCUCUACCAGUUGGGGCCAGCCAUCAAACUCCCAUGUCAUCGCCUGCUGCUCGACAUUUGAUGUUGAAGAGCAGUUAUGUUAAUUAUCUAAAUAUCCUUUGGAGACCUCGUGGCUGCAAAAUGUGUGCUGUGCUUCUUCUGUUUAGUGACAUGAAACUGCUUGACAACCAUACUAUUUGGAUGGGUAUUCAAUGCUAUCAGUUAAAAUGUUUAUUAACUA